Molecule: ribosomal RNA, 229 nt
Filed under: uncultured bacterium
Lineage: Bacteria
Description: partial 16S ribosomal RNA
Rfam family: Bacterial small subunit ribosomal RNA
Source: RNAcentral
UACGUCAGUGGCAGACGGGUGAGUAACGCGUGGGAACAUACCUCUUGGUUCGGAACAACACAGGGAAACUUGUGCUAAUACCGGAUAAGCCCUUACGGGGAAAGAUUUAUCGCCGAGAGAUUGGCCCGCGUCUGAUUAGCUAGUUGGUGGGGUAAAGGCCUACCAAGGCGACGAUCAGUAGCUGGUCUGAGAGGAUGAUCAGCCACAUUGGGACUGAGACACGGCCCAA